UAUUACUUUUAAGCUUCUAACUUAAAAAAAAGCAUUUAUAUGUUAU
This 46-nucleotide transfer RNA is filed under the name Xylobanus sp. UPOL 000071. RNAcentral's name for it is "partial tRNA-Ser". Lineage: Eukaryota; Metazoa; Arthropoda; Insecta; Coleoptera; Lycidae. The record is from RNAcentral.